RNAcentral lists this transfer RNA (76 nucleotides) under Escherichia coli. RNAcentral describes it as "tRNA-Thr". It matches the Rfam family "tRNA". From Rfam's summary of the family: Transfer RNA (tRNA) molecules are approximately 80 nucleotides in length. Their secondary structure includes four short double-helical elements and three loops (D, anti-codon, and T loops). RNAcentral also lists the same sequence under 1 other name. Lineage: Bacteria; Pseudomonadati; Pseudomonadota; Gammaproteobacteria; Enterobacterales; Enterobacteriaceae. The record is from RNAcentral.
GCCGAUUUAACUUAGCAGACAAAGCAACUGACUUGUAAUCACCGGGUCGCCAGUUCGAUUCCGGUAAUCGGCACUA